RNAcentral lists this ribosomal RNA (20 nucleotides) under Langdonia jejuensis. RNAcentral describes it as "partial 26S ribosomal RNA". Lineage: Eukaryota; Fungi; Basidiomycota; Ustilaginomycetes; Ustilaginales; Ustilaginaceae. The record is from RNAcentral.
CAUAUCAAUAAGCCGGAGGA